GUACUUUUCCAGCACCACUCUAAUCUCCAGCAUCUGCAGUACCCACCUCCACCUGAACGGAGCAUGCACCAAGUGAAUGAUAGCAAUCGAGGGGAGGUUUCUUCUCGUUUCGCAAACGGUGAAAAUGAAUUGCAGAAUGCCAUGGAUAUGAAUAUUUGAAGAGUGUUCACAGACAGAAAUCUCCAACCUAACAACAUAUAUUAGUAUAUAUUGCCUCUGCCCAGUAACGUGUGGUGAAAGUUCAAAACUGCUGCCGUCUGUGUUGUGAAGAUGCUCCUGCAAUGCUGCUGGAAACCAGACUCGGACUUGCUGGCAAGAUCCCUUCCUUGAAGAACAUUCGUGAAUCCCUUUGGUUUCAUAGAGACAUACAGUAUCGAAACAGGCCCUUCAAACCACCGUGUCUAUGCUGACCAAUAAACAACAGACUACACUAAUUCCAUUGACCUACAUUCAGUCCCCAGCCUCCUAGGGCCUUGCAUUUGAAGUACUCAUCCUGAUGGUUCUUACGUAUUGUCUGCACCACUCUCUCAGGCAGCAUCUUGCCUUUAACUAGCACACUUUGGGUGAUUUUGUUUUUAUUUUUCUCUCAGACUGCACAGAGAAUUCCAGCUGUGGCCUAACAAAUGGCUUAUAAAUUUGGAACAAGAUUUCCUACUGCCUAUAUUCUAUGACCCAACUCAUGGUAGGAAGCAUUCCAUGUGACCUCUUCACCACCCCCUAUCUACCUCUGCUGUUACAGUCAGCGAUCUAUGGACUUCUACACGAUGACACCUUUUUUCCUCAGUAAUUUGUACGGACUGACUGUUUCUCAUACCUUACCUUCCCUUUUCCAAUGACCCCAAAUACAUCAUUUCACACCUAUUGGAAUUAAAAUCCAGCUGGCAUUUCUCUGCUGAAAUUACCAGCUGAUCAUUAUCAGUCUGAGGUAUCCUCUUCACUAUCACAAUAGCAAACUUACUAAUUCUACCUUUUACAUUCGCGUCAUUUGUGUACAUAUGGACAACAAAAAUCCCAGCAUCAAUCCCCAUGGUACACCACUGGUCACAAACUUACAAUUACAAAGAAAAAUUCACAAUCAUCAUCCUUUGCCUCCCAUUUGAAAGCCAGGUUUUGGUUCAGUUUGCUGCCUUGUCUUGGAUCUCAUGUAUGCCUAACUUUUGGACCAGCCUCCAUGUGGGACUUCGGCAAGCAUCUCACUGAAGUCUUCGUAAAUUGUAUCAACUGCAGAACCCACAUCAAUGUAUGUUGUCACAUUUUCCACAAUCUCAGUUCAGUUAUUCAGACAGGAUGUCGCUCUCUAACAAAUCCAUGCUGAUUAUCUCUGAUCAAUCCCUGGCUUUCCAUGUUGAAUAAUCCUGCCCUUCAUAUUUAUUUGUAAUAAUUUCCCUCCCACUACAUUAACACCAUUUAAAAAGCAUUUUGACAAAUACGUGGAUAGGAAAGGAUUAACAGGAUA
Molecule: long non-coding RNA, 1456 nt
Organism: Chiloscyllium plagiosum (whitespotted bambooshark)
Lineage: Eukaryota; Metazoa; Chordata; Chondrichthyes; Orectolobiformes; Hemiscylliidae
Source: RefSeq, a predicted model, not a curated record